This 349-nucleotide unclassified non-coding RNA is filed under the name fungal sp. RNAcentral's name for it is "partial internal transcribed spacer region". The stretch from base 1 to 46 matches the Rfam family "Eukaryotic small subunit ribosomal RNA", at positions 1786 to 1831 of the family's 1831-position model. The record is from RNAcentral. Lineage: Eukaryota; Fungi.
AAGUCGUAACAAGGUUUCCGUAGGUGAACCUGCGGAAGGAUCAUUAAAACACGAUUCCAAAUCGUAUUAACCAACCGCGCACCCGUUUUGUUUCUCUAACUUCACCAGAAAUGAAAAGCUUGAGAGUUGAGGCAGUGUGGCUUCGCUUGCGAGGCUCGCUCUCUUGCCCGUCUGAGCCUCUGCGUUCAGAGAGUUCUGGUGUGAGUAUGCUGCCGCGCUCCUUCAGAGCCGCAAGGUUCUGAUUGAGUCGCUUUUAUUUCUAUUUACCCUAUUUCUAAGUUGUACUAAAAAGUUUUUCUUUCGUUAAGAAACAAAAGAACAACUCUUAGCAACGGAUAUCUAGGCUCUC